GCCAACGACCAUACCACGUUGAAUACACCAGUUCUCGUCCGAUCACUGAAGUUAAGCAACGUCGGGCGUAGUUAGUACUUGGAUGGGUGACCGCUUGGGAACACUACGUGCCGUUGGUU
RNAcentral lists this ribosomal RNA (119 nucleotides) under Rhopalosiphum maidis (corn leaf aphid). Lineage: Eukaryota; Metazoa; Arthropoda; Insecta; Hemiptera; Aphididae. The record is from RNAcentral.